UGGGGAAUAUUGCACAAUGGGGGAAACCCUGAUGCAGCGACGCCGCGUGAACGAAGAAGGUAUUCGUAUCGUAAAGUUCUGUCCUAUGGGAAGAUAAUGACAGUACCAUAGAAGAAAGCCCCGGCUAAAUACGUGCCAGCAGCCGCGGUAAUACGUAUGGGGCGAGAGUUGUCCGGAAUUAUUGGGCGUAAAGGCUACGCAGGCGGUUUAAUAAGUCGAAUGUUAAAGAUCGGGGCUCAACCCCGCAAAGCAUUGGAAACUGAUAAACUUGAGUAGUGGAGAGGAAAGUGGAAUUCCUAGUGUAGUGGUGAAAUACGUAGAUAUUAGGAGGAAUACCAGUAGCGAAGGCGACUUUCUGACCACAAACUGACGCUGAUGUACGAAAGCGUGGUGAGCAAACAGG
This 403-nucleotide ribosomal RNA is filed under the name bacterium. RNAcentral describes it as "partial 16S ribosomal RNA". It matches the Rfam family "Bacterial small subunit ribosomal RNA", at positions 355 to 776 of the family's 1533-position model. The record is from RNAcentral.